Molecule: long non-coding RNA, 1982 nt
Organism: Amaranthus tricolor (Joseph's coat)
Lineage: Eukaryota; Viridiplantae; Streptophyta; Magnoliopsida; Caryophyllales; Amaranthaceae
Exons: 4
Source: RefSeq, a predicted model, not a curated record
UUGUAGUAAUAUUAGUAGUAAUAAUAAUCUUUUUUUUUUUUAAAAAAAGGAACUAAAAUAUAAAGAAAAAAAAAAGAAAAGAAAAUUUACCUAAAUUCCAUGAGUUACACGUAUGAGUAUAUAGUAGUCAUCUUCUUUAUUAAGCAAGAAAGGCCUCCUUUUUCCUUCAUCUUCUUAAAAACAAUGGAGAGAAGUAGAGAACUCAUAUCAGAGCACCACCGCACUAACCUGCCACCACUCAACAACCUUCUCUAGCGCUAAGACGCGGCCGACGACUGCCCUUGUGCACUGAGCUCACCGCAGUACCCACUUGGGUCAGCAGCUGUCAGGCGUGGUCCGGUCAAAGCCACUCACGAACAGCCUUUUGUAAAUCUCAGGUCAUUUGUAUGCUCAGACACAGACUGAACAAAAGCGCAGCUGCUCUUCUUCUUCCAUUCUAUAUAUUUUCCUCUCGAGGUAAAUGAAGGUUAGAAUCAGGGCAGGGAGCAAUAUCCACUCAUUUUGUAUAUAUAUAUAUAGUUAUAAUAUAUCCUUUUCGUCAUAGUUUUACGUAUUUAAAAUUAAGCUAUAUAAAUGUGUACUCAACAUAAGCUGAUUGUGUGGUUUUGUUCUUUGAACCUGUCCUAGUGGAGGACAUAUUUUAAGAUCAAAAAAGUCAAGAGUAGCUGAAAGCAUAAAGAUCAGUAAUCAAUAAAGUAAUGUCUACCAAUCAUAUAAAAGAAUGGUGACUGUAAGUCAAAAGGACAAAUUUUAGUUUAUCGGUUUACAAACGGAACUCUGUCGGAAUUUCUAUAGAAAUUUAUAUAUUUUAAAUCGUUUCAAAUUAUUCUUAUAAUGUAAUUUCUUUAUAUCUUUCAAAGGUUGUAAACUCUGAUAUUUAAAUUCUUGAAAGAUGUCAAGUGGAUAAUAUAAUCAGUAGAGUAAUUGAUUAUAUUAUCAAUGUAAUAGGCCGAUAUAAGUGUUAAGCUUCCGCAUUAGUUUAAAUUAAUUUUGUUUAAUUAGUUGGUUAGUUUAGGGUUGUUACAUUGGGUCUGGACCCUACCCUAAAAUUAGGGUCUAGAUUCGGGUAGGGUCCAAACCCAACCCAUACCUUUAAAUGCCCAUCCCUACUUCUCUUCCCUUUUAAACAAACAAAAUACAUUCUCCCUCCUUAUCUCUCGUCUUCCUUUUUCCUUCCUUUCUUUUUUCUCUUAAUUUUCUAUUCAAAACAUAGUGUAAAAGUGACUUCAUCUUUGUACUCUUGAUAAUUUUCAUCAACAUAUCUCCUUAGAUCAUUUGAUCUAAAGAAUGCUUUCAUUUUUAUCUUCCAAAAGUCAUAGUAUUCUCCCAAAACAUUGGUAUUGGAAAUGUUACAAGUAUUGGCCAUGUGUUAUUUUCUUAAAAAGGUUUAUUAAUCUAUGUUUAGUUUUUGUUGGGUAUACUUAGAGCAGUGAUAUCAAUUUUGAUUUUCUAGCUAUGGCUUAAAGAUUUUUUUAGUGUAGUUGCGAGUGAGAAGGUUAGGGUAAACACUUUGCUUAUUAUUGAUUGGUUCUGGUCCUUACAAGUGAUACAACUAUAUUUAUAGUCACCUCAUGUUGGUGUAAUACAAUACAUGCAUAUAGAUAAUUCACUUACUACAUCCCUUAAGGCUAUAUGUAACACUAAUAUGAAUGAAUAUGUAUCACACUAAUAGAUCUGAUUACAUAUGUCUCCUUAAAAUGAAUUAAACAAGAUUCGAUUAAAUUAUGUAUUUUCAUCAUGAAGAACUAGACGUGAAAUAUUUACUCCAAAUAUAAAUAUAUACUAACUACCAAGUUGUACUGUAGUAUAUCUAGAAUGAAGGCCCAGCUUAAAUAGGAAGCCUAGUCCAACGCAUAUGUUAAAUAUUUGUACGAAAAUUUGAAUAAAAUAAGAUGUUUUAACAAUUUAAUUCCAAAAAUAAGCUUUGUGAAAACUUAAUUCUCAAAAUAAGCGUCCGUACAUCCAAACCUAGCCUUGGAGUA